UGGGGAAUAUUGCACAAUGGGCGCAAGCCUGAUGCAGCAACGCCGCGUGAACGAUGAAGGUCUUCGGAUCGUAAAGUUCUGUUGCAGGGGAAGAUAAUGACGGUACCCUGUGAGGAAGCCCCGGCUAACUACGUGCCAGCAGCCGCGGUAAUACGUAGGGGGCUAGCGUUAUCCGGAUUUACUGGGCGUAAAGGGUGCGUAGGUGGUCCUUCAAGUCGGUGGUUAAAGGCUACGGCUCAACCGUAGUAAGCCGCCGAAACUGGAGGACUUGAGUGCAGGAGAGGAAAGUGGAAUUCCCAGUGUAGCAGUGAAAUGCGUAGAUAUUGGGAGGAACACCAGUAGCGAAGGCGGCUUUCUGGACUGCAACUGACACUGAGGAACGAAAGCGUGGGUAGCAAACAGG
RNAcentral lists this ribosomal RNA (403 nucleotides) under Verrucomicrobiota bacterium. RNAcentral describes it as "Verrucomicrobia bacterium partial 16S ribosomal RNA". It matches the Rfam family "Bacterial small subunit ribosomal RNA", at positions 355 to 776 of the family's 1533-position model. Lineage: Bacteria; Pseudomonadati; Verrucomicrobiota. The record is from RNAcentral.